Oreochromis aureus is the source of this 1741-nucleotide long non-coding RNA. RefSeq lists it as uncharacterized. NCBI's taxonomy places the organism in Eukaryota, Metazoa, Chordata, Actinopteri, Cichliformes, Cichlidae. The transcript has 2 exons. The record is from RefSeq and is a predicted model, not a curated record.
UUAUUUAUAAGAACAUUAUUGUCCACUGACUGUAUGUUGAGCAAAUAGUGGACCCAAAUGCAGACAAAAAAACUGAAUGUAAAAUGAACAAAAAGCCCUUUGUUAAGGGUGAUUACAUGAGUACAAAUAACAAGAUAAAGUGAACAAGGACGAAAACUAAACUAAAACCUAAACUGGAAGAAACUAAACUAUGACAACUAUGACAAAAGACAUGAACAUGAUUCAGGGCAGGAGCAUGUAAGAAGCUAUGAGGAAAAAACAUAAACAUGGAACAUGAGCAUGACCUGAGUUGAAUCAUCAAAUACGUGAGCUUAAUGUUACGUGGAGGAAAGAAACACAGAUGAUCUGACAAAGAGGGGUAAUGAGGGAAGUGGAAACACCUGGGGAAACAGCUGGCACUAAUGAACAUAAUGACAUCACAGGGAAAAAAAGUACAACUAGACACAUUCAGCAUACAAGACACAGUACACCCAAGAUUUUCAAAAUAAAACAGGAAACACGGAGACAUGACAACACAAGCCUGACAAUAUGGAACACACAGACAUAAAACACAUGACAGACGGAACAAAAAAAAAAAAAAAAAAGGAGACAGAUGAUAGUAAUGGCUAAACCAAAGCUAUCUCAACCAUAAAUAAGAAUAAUUCAAGAACUUAAAAUCACAAACUUAACAUAAGAAAGUCAAAAGUACAGAACAAACUCAAAACGCUGGGUCACAGACCCAGCCCCUGAUAAUUAUUCAAACAAAGUAUGAUUCAUAGCUGGUAAAGACAAAAAUAAAUAAAUAAAUAAAAAUAAAGCAAUACUACAGUACUUACAUGCGUUUUCAUCAUGGAGCAUUGUGCUUAGAAAGUUGAGGGGAAUGAUGAAUUAAAUCAAUUUUGGAUUAAGGCAAAAUGUGGAACUAGUCAUCACUAUGGUCAAACAACAAAGGAGUUAUCCCCUCACCUCUAUAUGUGGAGUACAAUGCAACAUAUCAACUGAUAGCUCCACAUGUAGCUCCACGUUUGGUCAUUUUUAGUUUUAUAUUGAUGAUAAUCCAACAUACAUAGCAUUAUGAUACAAGAAGGACGUUCUUUGCACCCCUGGUUUCCUAAAAGAAACUUUUUUUAUAAAAUGUAAUACACAGAGCAAAUAAGAAACAUAAUACAUUACUUUUUAUUUGAUUUUAACUACAAUAAUAAAGACAUUACUACAUUAGCAUGUAUUAGGAGUUGGUGGCAUGUGUGUUGGUGUUUCUGGGGUUUGUUUUCCCUUUUCGGCACAGGUAGGCGGGGCGGUGUUUGACGGCAUUCCGGCACACCUGCGGCGCAUUGGACGUCAUCAGUGGGAGCAUUUAUGGAGCUGAGUGACGGACGUCUGGUGUCGGAUUAUUGUCGUUCCCACAAGUGGUAACAGUGCUGUUGCAAGUUUAAUCUGUUGGUUCCGUGCGACUGAGGUACAUGUUUUUAAGAUUCAUCUCCUGCCUGCUUUUUCUCUGCACCAGCCUGUCUCGCCGCCUGCUCGCCUGCCUGUUUCUUUGUGCGCUGGCCCAUCUUUGGAUCUGUGACAGAGACUUACCUGGCGCUGGCCUGCGAUCACUGUUAUUCCUGUAUUCUGGUGUUUCAAGUAGCUCUGGUUCGCCACCUAUAUCUGCCUGCAUACCUCGGCUCUGUUUAUUCGCACAUUUACCUGGUCAUUGUAUAUAGCCCCGUCCCCUUGUAAAUAUUCCCUGACCACUGUUAAUAAAUCUGCUUCACCGCUA